Molecule: ribosomal RNA, 305 nt
Filed under: uncultured bacterium
Lineage: Bacteria
Description: bacterial SSU rRNA
Rfam family: Bacterial small subunit ribosomal RNA
Source: RNAcentral
ACCUACGGGGCGCAGCAGUAGGGAAUUUUCGUCAAUGGGCGCAAGCCUGAACGAGCAAUGCCGCGUGAACGAGGAAGGUCUUCGGAUCGUAAAGUUCUGUUGAAGGGGAAAAAGAGCGGAGAGAGGAAAUGCUUUCUGAUUGAUAUUACCCUUCGAGGAAGUCACGGCUAACUACGUGCCAGCAGCCGCGGUAAUACGUAGGUGGCGAGCGUUAUCCGGAAUGAUUGGGCGUAAGGGGUGCGUAGGCGGCCUGCUAAGUCUGGAGUGAAAGGUACCGGCUCAACCGGUACAGGCUCUGGAAACUG